UAUGACUCUCGGCAAUGGAUAUCUUGGCUCUUGCAUCGAUGAAGAGCGCAGCGAAAUGCGAUAUGUGGUGCGAAUUGCAGAAUCCCGUGAACCAUUGAGUUUUUGAACGCAAGUUGCGCCUGAGGCCAGCUGGUCGAGGGCACGUCCACUUGGGCGUCAUGC
Molecule: ribosomal RNA, 162 nt
Filed under: Genoplesium nudum
Lineage: Eukaryota; Viridiplantae; Streptophyta; Magnoliopsida; Asparagales; Orchidaceae
Description: 5.8S ribosomal RNA
Rfam family: 5.8S ribosomal RNA
About the family: 5.8S ribosomal RNA (5.8S rRNA) is a component of the large subunit of the eukaryotic ribosome. It is transcribed by RNA polymerase I as part of the 45S precursor that also contains 18S and 28S rRNA. Functionally, it is thought that 5.8S rRNA may be involved in ribosome translocation.
Source: RNAcentral